GGGUGAAUUCUAGAUCAAUUCAAAAUCUUUAGAGCCGAAGCAAAAAACCAUACUAAAAAACAUCCGUAAAAGAUUUAGAUCUGGUUAAGGUAAUGAAUAUACCUCAAAUAAGAUGAUCAUAUUCUAUCAAAAACAUGAGAUUAUUCAUGAAGUUAUUCUUUCUUAUUCCUGUCAAUUCAGCAGUAUAAUAGGAUGAAAAAAUCAAACCUUAAUGGACAUAGUUAACUCAAUAUUAAUCAAUUUUUGUUAUCAGAGAACUUGUGGAGGAAAUCCUCUUAUUAGCCAA
Molecule: long non-coding RNA, 286 nt
Filed under: Elaeis guineensis (African oil palm)
Lineage: Eukaryota; Viridiplantae; Streptophyta; Magnoliopsida; Arecales; Arecaceae
Description: long non-coding RNA (EGUI_LNC012206)
Source: RNAcentral